AUCCAGCUGACGAGUCCCAAAUAGAACGAAACACGCGUCCUGGAU
Non-coding RNA from Schistosoma mansoni, 45 nucleotides. The record is from Rfam. Lineage: Eukaryota; Metazoa; Platyhelminthes; Trematoda; Strigeidida; Schistosomatidae.